Long non-coding RNA from Heterocephalus glaber (naked mole-rat), 1507 nucleotides. The record is from Ensembl. Lineage: Eukaryota; Metazoa; Chordata; Mammalia; Rodentia; Bathyergidae.
CCCUUAUAUAACUUCACCCUGGAUAAGAUUUAACGUAGAACUGACAUGGAAGCCCAUGCCUAUAAUCAGCUUCUUAGGAGGCUGAGGAAGAGGAUUGUAAGUUCAAGUGCAACCUGGGCAACUUAGCAAUACCCUGUCUCCAAAAGAGGUAAGAACGGAGCCCAGUUAUUUUUAUAGCAUGAAAAGAUUGGAGUUUGUUGGAGAGAGUGUAAUGGUUUGUGUUUAAAUGUCCUCCUAAACGCUCCUGUAGAUGAGGUGGGACUUUCUUUUUCAGAGGUAGUUGAAUCUCGAAUGUGUUAUGCUGGGGUUAAGGGCGCGUGAUUACUAAACCACUACAUGUGAGUGAUUAGUUUGGCACCGCCCUAAUCCCCGGUAGUCUGAAUAAGAUAAAAAGAUGCUGUUAAACUUCCCUUGUUCCUUUUGCUACCUUGUACGCGCCAUGUUGUUUCUGCUCUGCGAGGCCUGUUUGUCAUCCCUGUCGUGGAGCCAGCCAACUGUGGACUGAAACCUCUACAAACUGACAAGAAUUAGAAAAGUGGUUACAACCUGGAAGACCUUCCAGUGCCCCUCCCUGACAUGGAUUUCCCUCUCCCCACCAGAGGCUGGUGCAUACGUGCAAGAAUGUCUCCUAAUGUACCCCCAGGAGUGGAUCUGCAGUACUUGAGACUUCCUUUGUUCUCUGUCCUUGUCACCUUGAGUUCUUUUCCAUACAGAUGCCAAUACCUGGGGGCACUGGACAAAGUACUGGGGAGUGCUCUAUGACACAUAGAAAUUUAAAACAGUAUCCUUCAUCAAAAAGUUGAAUGUAGAGUAAUCAUGCGACCUUGAAAUUCCACUCCUAGGUAUGUGCCAAAAGAAUUUGGAAACAUAUGUUCACACAAAAACUUAUACAACAAUUUUCACAACAGCAUUAUUCAUAACAGCCAAAAAGUGGAAACAACCCAAAUGGCCAUGGACUAAUGAAUGGCUAAACAAAAUGUGAUCUGCCCACACAAUAGAACAUUAUUCAGCCAUACAAAGGAAUGAAACACUAACAUGCUACAAUAUGGAUAUAUUUUGAAAACAUGAUGCUAAGCGAAAGGAGCCAGACAUAGGAAGCAAUGUGAUUCCACUUAUACAAAAUGUCCAAAGCCAGAAGUGGUGGCACACACUUGUAAUCACAGCACUCUGGGAAGCUGAGGCAGAGAACUGCAAGUUCAAGCCUAGCCUGGGCAAUUUAAUGACUUAGAACUUGUCAAGAAGAGAAGAAAGAGGGGGAGGGGAGGGGAAGAGAGGGAAGGGGAAGGUCUAGAACAGGCAGAUCCGGUGGAGAUAGAAAGUAGAUUAGAUUGCCAGGGGCUGAGGAAGGGAGAAAUGGGCCAUGGCUUCUAACGAGUAUGGGGAUUCCUUUAUGAGGUCAUGAAAAUGGUCUCAUAAGUUUGUGACUAUACCGGAAAUGCGUGAAAUUGUAUUCUUAUGUGAAUUUUAUCAUAUGUGAAUUAUAUCUUCAUUAAAAUGUAAAUAAAAA